UCGGAUUGACUCCAAAACUUGGGGAACAUCAUAAUAUUGUGGGAGGAGUCAUUUGGUGGGUUUUGAGUGAAAUCCAAUCUCUAGAACUAUACAAUACACCAACAACCCCAUUUCAGAACGAACUUCGUUCGAACCUGAAUUGUCCGAUUUCAAGGACCAAUCGAUAUCGGAUUGAGUCCAAAACUUGGGGAACAUCAUAAUAUUGUGGGAGGAGUUAUUUCGUGGGUUUUGGGUGAAAUCCAAUCACUAGAACUAUACAAUACACCAACCACUCCAUUUCAGAACGAACUUCGUAC
RNAcentral lists this long non-coding RNA (296 nucleotides) under Prunus persica (peach). RNAcentral's name for it is "long non-coding RNA (PPER_LNC008731)". Lineage: Eukaryota; Viridiplantae; Streptophyta; Magnoliopsida; Rosales; Rosaceae. The record is from RNAcentral.